RNAcentral lists this ribosomal RNA (427 nucleotides) under uncultured bacterium. RNAcentral's name for it is "partial 16S ribosomal RNA". It matches the Rfam family "Bacterial small subunit ribosomal RNA", at positions 355 to 774 of the family's 1533-position model. The record is from RNAcentral.
UGGGGAAUAUUGCACAAUGGGCGCAAGCCUGAUGCAGCCAUGCCGCGUGUAUGAAGAAGGCCUUCGGGUUGUAAAGUACUUUCAGCGAGGAGGAAGGCGUUGUGGUUAAUAACCUCAGCAAUUGACGUUACCCGCAGAAGAAGCACCGGCUAACUCCGUGCCAGCAGCCGCGGUAAUACGGAGGGUGCAAGCGUUAAUCGGAAUUACUGGGCGUAAAGCGCACGCAGGCGGUCUGUCAAGUCGGAUGUGAAAUCCCCGGGCUCAACCUGGGAACUGCAUUCGAAACUGGCAGGCUAGAGUCUUGUAGAGGGGGGUAGAAUUCCAGGUGUAGCGGUGAAAUGCGUAGAGAUCUGGAGGAAUACCGGUGGCGAAGGCGGCCCCCUGGACAAAGACUGACGCUCAGGUGCGAAAGCGUGGGGAGCAAACA